AGCUUUAUUUGAUGGCAAUAUCGUAAAUACUGAGGAUUAACUGAGGUGUGAGUAUUGCUAGUUGGAAACUUUUCCCAAUCCCCCGCCCCCGCCUGGACGUCGUUGCUACAAUGGAUUUCGUUUCAAUAUAUAUAUAUAUAUAUAUAUA
Molecule: small nuclear RNA, 148 nt
Organism: Penaeus chinensis
Lineage: Eukaryota; Metazoa; Arthropoda; Malacostraca; Decapoda; Penaeidae
Product: U4 spliceosomal RNA
Exons: 1
Source: RefSeq, a predicted model, not a curated record